Molecule: ribosomal RNA, 507 nt
Filed under: uncultured bacterium
Lineage: Bacteria
Description: partial 16S ribosomal RNA
Rfam family: Bacterial small subunit ribosomal RNA
Source: RNAcentral
ACGAACGCUGGCGGCGUGCCUAAUACAUGCAAGUCGAACGCUUCUUUCCUCCCGAGUGCUUGCACUCAAUUGGAAAGAGGAGUGGCGGACGGGUGAGUAACACGUGGGUAACCUACCCAUCAGAGGGGGAUAACACUUGGAAACAGGUGCUAGUACCGCAUAACAGUUUAUGCCGCAUGGCAUAAGAGUGAAAGGCGCUUUCGGGUGUCGCUGAUGGAUGGACCCGCGGUGCAUUAGCUAGUUGGUGAGGUAACGGCUCACCAAGGCCACGAUGCAUAGCCGACCUGAGAGGGUGAUCGGCCACACUGGGACUGAGACACGGCCCAGACUCCUACGGGAGGCAGCAGUAGGGAAUCUUCGGCAAUGGACGAAAGUCUGACCGAGCAACGCCGCGUGAGUGAAGAAGGUUUUCGGAUCGUAAAACUCUGUUGUUAGAGAAGAACAAGGACGUUAGUAACUGAACGUCCCCUGACGGUAUCUAACCAGAAAGCCACGGCUAACUACGUG